Molecule: transfer-messenger RNA, 401 nt
Filed under: Marinilabilia salmonicolor
Lineage: Bacteria; Pseudomonadati; Bacteroidota; Bacteroidia; Marinilabiliales; Marinilabiliaceae
Also listed under: 1 other name
Rfam family: transfer-messenger RNA
About the family: Bacterial tmRNA, also known as 10Sa RNA or SsrA, is named for its dual tRNA and mRNA-like properties. Its role is to liberate the mRNA from a stalled ribosome. To accomplish this part of the tmRNA is used as a reading frame that ends in a translation stop signal.
Source: RNAcentral
GGGGCUGACAUGGAAUUGACAGUGAGGUAAAGUGGUAAGUAAGCAUGCCGAGCGUUGUGAAGCUGGCUCGUAAAUCCCAGGGCUCAAACUUUUUAACUGGCGAAAACAAUUACGCUCUUGCUGCGUAACCGAAUAACAGUAGGUUAUGCUUAAUCCCGGUCCCAGGGACCGGGACGAGACAUCUUCCGGAUGCCGUCGUUUCGGGGCUAUCCGAUCAGAAGGUGCAGAUAAACCGAAACUAGCCUGAGGCCCGCUCCGUGCCUGAGGCGAAAUUUAGGAGAUAAGGAUUGGUUCGGGUGUCGCUACCCUCGCCUUUCCCGACAAUCAAGAAGCGACUAAGCAUGUAGAAAGCUUAUGGCUUCCUUGUCUGGACCGGGGUUCGAUUCCCCGCAGCUCCACCU